GAUGAACGCUGGCGGCGUGCCUAAUACAUGCAAGUCGAGCGAACGGACGAGAAGCUUGCUUCUCUGAUGUUAGCGGCGGACGGGUGAGUAACACGUGGAUAACCUACCUAUAAGACUGGGAUAACUUCGGGAAACCGGAGCUAAUACCGGAUAAUAUUUUGAACCGCAUGGUUCAAAAUUUAAAGACGGUCUUGCUGUCACUUAUAGAUGGAUCCGCGCUGCAUUAGCUAGUUGGUAAGGUAACGGCUUACCAAGGCAACGAUGCAUAGCCGACCUGAGAGGGUGAUCGGCCACACUGGAACUGAGACACGGUCCAGACUCCUACGGGAGGCAGCAGUGGGGAAUCUUCCGCAAUGGGCGAAAGCAUGACGGAGCAACGCCGCGUGAGUGAUGAAGGUCUUCGGAUCGUAAAACUCUGUUAUUAGGGAAGAACAUAUGUGUAAGUAACUGUGCACAUCUUGACGGUACCUAAUCAGAAAGCCACGGCUAACUACGUG
Molecule: ribosomal RNA, 497 nt
Filed under: uncultured bacterium
Lineage: Bacteria
Description: partial 16S ribosomal RNA
Rfam family: Bacterial small subunit ribosomal RNA
Source: RNAcentral